This is a transfer RNA of Thalassiosira oceanica, 82 nucleotides long. It matches the Rfam family "tRNA". Rfam says of the family: Transfer RNA (tRNA) molecules are approximately 80 nucleotides in length. Their secondary structure includes four short double-helical elements and three loops (D, anti-codon, and T loops). The record is from Rfam. NCBI's taxonomy places the organism in Eukaryota, Bacillariophyta, Thalassiosirophyceae, Thalassiosirales, Thalassiosiraceae.
GACGCCGUGGCCGAGUGGUUAAGGCGGUCGACUAGAAAUCGACUGGGUUUAUCCCGCGCAGGUUCGAGUCCUGUCGGCGUCG